UACGGAGGAUGCAAGCGUUAUCCGGAUUCAUUGGGUUUAAAGGGUGCGUAGGCGGAAUGAUAAGUUAGUGGUGAAAGCCCCCGGCUCAACCGGGGAACUGCCAUUAAUACUGUCAUUCUUGAGUAUAGUUGAAGUGGGCGGAAUGUAUCAUGUAGCGGUGAAAUGCUUAGAUAUGAUACAGAACACCGAUAGCGUAGGCAGCUUGCUAAACUAUAACUGACGCUCAGGCACGAAAGCGUGGGGAGCAAACAGGAUUAGAUACCCGCGUA
RNAcentral lists this ribosomal RNA (269 nucleotides) under uncultured prokaryote. RNAcentral's name for it is "partial 16S ribosomal RNA". It matches the Rfam family "Bacterial small subunit ribosomal RNA", at positions 524 to 792 of the family's 1533-position model. The record is from RNAcentral.